UGAUGCAUAGCCCGAGUUGAGAGACUGAUCGGGCCACAUUGGGGACUGGAGACACGGGGCCCAAACUCCUACGGGGGGAGGGGCAGCAGUAGGGGGAAUCUUCCGACAAUGGACGCAAGUCUGAUGGAGCAACGCCGCGUGAGUGAAGAAGGUUUUCGGAUCGUAAAGCUACUGUUGUUGGUGAAGAAGGAUAGAGGUAGUAACUGGCCUUUAUUUGACGGUAAUCAACCAGAAAGUCACGGCUAACUACGUGCCAGCAGCCGCGGUAAU
This 270-nucleotide ribosomal RNA is filed under the name uncultured Lactobacillus sp. RNAcentral's name for it is "partial 16S ribosomal RNA". It matches the Rfam family "Bacterial small subunit ribosomal RNA", at positions 277 to 524 of the family's 1533-position model. The record is from RNAcentral. Lineage: Bacteria; Bacillati; Bacillota; Bacilli; Lactobacillales; Lactobacillaceae.